This is a non-coding RNA of Anas platyrhynchos (mallard), 29739 nucleotides long. The record is from RefSeq and is a predicted model, not a curated record. NCBI's taxonomy places the organism in Eukaryota, Metazoa, Chordata, Aves, Anseriformes, Anatidae.
GACCAGGCUGGAUGAAGCCCUGAGCAGCCUGAUGUAGUGGGUGGCAUCCAUGCCCAUGGCAGAGGGAUUGCAACUAGAUGAUCUUUAAGGUCCCUUCCAACCCAAACUAUUCUGUGUUUCUAAUGAACACUAGUAGCUUCUUUUGGAGUAGACAGCAGGUGGUGCAACUACUUCAUGUAAAGCUUCUGAACCAGCAAUUCUCAGCCAGGCUGGCAUAGCAAGCGAUCCUGUGCAUCAGCGGGAUGUUGUCUGGAGCUAAGAAUGGCUUGGUCUGUUCCUAGCCAAAUUUUCCAAUAGCUAGGAGUCAUGAUGCUUCCAGCAGGAUUCGGCCUGUUUGCCCUACUGAUAUGUGUAAGCCCCGUCGCUUUUGGUGAAGCACUGAAUGCUGCUUGUACUUGAUCUGAAGCAGUUAUUCUUUCUGUGUGUGAUCUCUGUUUGGCAAUGCUGCAACUGCUCUUUGCAUUUCACUUUUCACUCUCCUAGAACUGAACCUUAGACUUCUGCUGUGCAGCUCUUAGGCUGGGAUUUCUGGUCCCUGUAAAUCCAAGGUAAAGGAGAAAUUUGUUCACAGGUGAGGAUUUGCACCUUAUAUGGUGCUGGAAGAUGAAAUGUCAUAGUGCAAAUGCUGCUGCUUGGGAACUGUAAAGCACUGUAGCCUGUUGGUUCUGGUAUUGUUUCUUCUUUAAGGUGAAGGGGAUGCCCUAGAACCUAGUGUCCCAACACUUAGUGUUUCUAUCUAGACACAGCUUUUUGGUGACAGAUACAACACUGUGUCACCACUUGUUUCUGGUGGGGAUUGGUAGGUAUCUAUGGUGCUGGAGUAGGCUGCCCAGGAAGGUUGUGGAGUCUCCUUCUCUGGAGAUACUCACGGCCUGUCUGGACACCUACCUGGGCAACCUGCUCUAGGGAAUCUGCUUUGGCAGGGGGGUUGGACACGAUGAUCUCUUGAGGUCCCUUCCAGCCCCUAUAGUUCUGUGAUUCUGUGAUCUAUUUUCUUGUUCAGUAAAAUGUUGUUCUUUUUGGAGAUAAAGGUAAGAGAAAUACAAAAGUAGGAAUGUGAAAGUGUCUACUGCUUCAUGAUUUUGUCACAGUAUAUGGUAUGGAUAGUCAGUUCAGUUUGCUUGUGAAACUGACUGAGCAUCAUUUGUCUGUUCUGGAAAUAAUCCUAUUCUAGUUUUCUAGUUUCUUCUAGUAUACAGGUAGGAAUGGCAGAGGAUCUUUGUCCUAUUCCUGCCCAGGAAGAUAAAAACCCCUUGUGAGUUGCUUGAUGAUAAUUAACUAUUAACUACUCCUUUGGAUUUAUUGGAGGAAGAUUUUUUUCCUCAGCCUAAUAAAUACAUAUCGGGAUCCUGUGGUGCAGGGACAUGCAUGGUAGGUCGUAUUCUAAAAGUGUGUGACACAGCAAGGAGGCCUUAAUCCAGCUCAUGCUGAAAUACUUUUGCUGUUUAUCUGGGUCUGCAGUGCGAUGGAUGGAAAGGGUUUUUCCAUUCUAUGAGUGGCUGGGAAUUGCUGAAGGUGCUCCUGCAAGGAUUCUUGCCUGAGACUAAUCCACAAGAUUACCUCUAGUUCUGGGAAAGCACUGCUGUUUUGAAGUCUUUAAAUGAUGUUUCCCUGUGCAGUUCUCUCAGCAGGACAGGAAUCUCAUUGGGGUAGAGUUGACUAUGCCAUGACUGCUGGGGUGCAGAAUAGGCAAAAUUCUUCUUGUUUGUUUAAUUUGCCUUUCUACUGCUUUAAAAGUUCUUUUUUGUCUAUUUUAUGCUAGAGUGACUCCUACCAUUCAGAUGAAAUGUCACAUUGAUUUGAUUACACUGUUUGGAAUAGCAUGCUUGGAACUCAUUUGAGGCAUGAAAAAACUUGUGUGAUAACUCAUCAGAUAGAGAAGGCACAAGCACCUGAGUGGGCAUAAUUUCUUCUUGAGCCCUGAUAGCUUUGGGGGGCUGUGCUAAGAGUCUUCAAGUCAGCUUGCAUGUGAUUUAAAGAACAGAGGUUAAUUGCCUAAGGUUCUGCUUGAACAGCUAUAUCAAGAGCUGUAUGACAAGCAGAGGUCCAUCUGUGUACUAGCCUCGAGUCAACGCUGUGUGAGGUUGAAGGCUCAUUGGCCAGCUCCAGCAUCCUAUAAGAGGUGAGAAUGGACAGUGUUGGCCCUUCAGGACCUUAUUCCACAAGUGACCAUAACAAAAAUGCCAACAAACCCACAUGCCUAGCAGGAAUGCUAAAUAGGUGUGCCUAGCUAAAUAGUAAAGACAUGGUCCUGCCCUUUGAGGAGAGGAACUUCUUAGAGUCUGGUCUGGAACCAUGCAACUUGACCAUUUUUGGGGUGUCUACUGAGGCCUCUUUGUCCAGCUAGGACUUCUUUUAGCAUCUGCACAUCAGUGUGUUUGGGCAGCAGUCCUGGAAUUUACUUUCUCUUGCCUGGAAUACUCCCACUGAGACCUGUGUGCAUCUACCUUCGUGAUGCUGUCAUGCAUUCCCAUCUGUGUGUGCAGGGGUAGCUGUAGAUCUGUAAAAUAUCAGUGAAAAAACACCUUCUUUGCUAGAGUUUUAGAGUUCCAGCAUAGAGAUUUGGAUUUAAAUACAGUGUAAUGUUGAAUAUAAAUGUUAGUACUGCAGGUGCCUCAAUGGGGUUACCAAACAACAAGUUCUGAGAACCGCUGCUUAAGUCUCUUAGUCUGCCUGCCAUUAACUGACCAAACAGAUGGGUCUUUUGCACUCUAAACUGUUGUUGAGUGCUUGGUGUUGCCUGGGAAACAGAGAAGGAACAUGAGUGGAUCCUAUUGUUUGUGGGUUUAUCUUGCUUUUGUAACAGCUUCUGGGGAGAGCCUCAACUUUGCAAGGGAGGCAGCGCAGCUUGUAUUUUCCCUCUUCCUCACUCCCCACGCUUCCUGUGGCAGCAUUGCUGUUCUUUGUCCCAGAUUUGUUUGCUUUGCUUUUGUUCACCCAAAUCCACUGUGUCCAUCUGUUCUGCGUCACUCUUUCAGUAAUGGCAGGAGCACUGUGAUGGUGGGUUUGGGCAAAUCCUGUGAUUUGUGGUGAGUGGAACAGUGACCUGAGACCAGUUCUCCCUCAUAAAUUUUGAGGCUCUGGAUAAAGGAGAUAAAGAGAUAACAAAAUGGGGAAGCACUAUUGGCACUUAUAGGAAGUGGACAAAGAAUGAAUGACUCAAAACGGUGUGGCACGGCUGUCUUGUUGGCCAGAGGUGUCUUUUUUCAGUUCUCUUUGCCUAUCCAUUGCACUUCAGAGCCUUCCAGAAGCACUUGCAAUUUAGAAAAGUAUUAAGUUAGGGAUGGAAUCACACUCUGCUUUUUCUUUCACCUCUGACUGCUGUGUCUGCAAGACUUCCCUGUACUCCAGAGCUUCGACAGGCUUCAGCAAUGCUGGCUCUUAGCUCUCCUGGUUGGACAUCACAGGGUGCUGGGCAGAACACCCUCUUCUUGACUGCUUUAGUACUCUCAGCUAGAGAUGUUCUGGGAAGUGGAAGCACUGGUUGCAUGGAGAGCCCCAGAAGAGCCUUUUUAAACCCACAGUGGAACUGGUAGGGAUGCUCCCAUGUUUGAAGUGCCUCGUGCUCUCCUGAGUGCCUCUUUCCUGGGACUCUUGACUACCUGUGAGUCUGAGAACAUAUCUUGGUGCUCCAUCUCUGCUCUCAGAGCAAAGCUCCGUUGCUUGCAGUUAGAUGUACCUGAUUUUGCAGACUUGGCUAGUACAAGCAGUGCAUUGUGAGUGUAGGAGAUCAAUGAACAAAGUUAUAAUGUGGACACAGACUUUGGCAGGGGUCCAUGCAGGGACUGGCAAGAAGGAUAGGGCAGGAGCUUUGUGAUUCUCUAGGAACAUGUCAGUGUUCCUGUCUAGACAGCUCUGCCGGGGCAUGGUGUGAGGCUCCUUUCUCACUGUGAAUACUCUUGUUCCUCCCCAGUAGCCUCAGGAUGAGGCAAUGGGACUUAGUGAGGGAACAGAAGCUACCUCCUUGGGUAAAAUGCUAGAAUAGGUCUAUAAAGGAAGUUGACAGACCUCAUCUUUGCUUUUGCUGAAAUUGUAGCCCUUCCUUCAGGGUGAGUUACUCUGUACCUGGAUGUGGUCUCGCUCAGGAGCAGGGCUGCAGGCUGGUCGUGAAUGGGAAUGUGGCAGAGCUUUGGGGGGAGCUCAGGAGGCGCUGUGUGCUGGUGUAGGGUAGUGCAACAGUGUCUAAGAGCCUUGCAUGUCUGUUAACAAUGUCCUUCUUUCUUGAGUAGGCAUUGAAAUUGAAUGAGAUGGAAAAAGAAUCCCUGCCCACCUUUUUCACCUCUAAGGAGAAAAACCCUAGCGUGCACCAAAAAUGCCAGAAAUAGAAAAGGAGGCAAGUACAGCAACACAGAUACAGUGACAUCUUCUUGAGGGAGAACAUGCACAUGUGUUUCUACUGGGGAGGCUUUCCUGCCUCUGUGCAGGCCAGUGCACACACACUUUGACAUGCAGGCAGAUACAGGAAAUGGAGGGCUGUGGUUGAAUAUUGCUGAUGUUUGAACUAAUUAACCAGUGGAAGCAGAGCUGAAUGGAUCUCAGAGGUGCUGCACUCCUUCCACAAACUCUGUUCUUGCCUGUAAGACCAGGUGUUUACACGUGUGCUGAUUUUGCCCCCACCUUCCCCUGGGAGAUCUCUUUAUUUGAGGAACAGCUGCUUGCCUUCCUGCUGAAAUUUCAACAUAGUAAACACCCUGAGGGCAAGGUGUCCCUGAAAACCCCUCUGCACUCCCUAGUUCUAUGCCCAGAAAACAAGGUGUCCUGGGUCUGUCCCCUCCCACCUCCUGCUGCACCCCCAGCCUGCCCGUUGGCAGGACAGAGCAAGAAGCUGAGAUGUCCUUGGCUUAGUAUAAGCACUGCUCUGCAGCAAUUAAAACAUUGGGGUGUUAUCAGCACUCUUCUCAUCCUAAGCCAAAACAUAGCAUUCUACUAGUUACUAGGAAGAAAAUUAACUCUGUUCUAACUGAAACCAGGACACAAGGUGUCAUCAUCAAGCUUACUGUAGUGUCACAGCAACUCUGUCUCAUAGUGGGAAAGCCAAGCUGGCUCCAAAAUACAGGACUAGCAUGACAGUGGGAAAGGAGAGCAGCUGACGGGGGGCUGGUUUCCACCCAACUCUGGGCUGCAAAGGGCUCCCAUACAUUCGUGAUCUUACUAGUGGCAAAUCCUUGACCCCUACCUCCACCCCCCUGCUUUUGCACUGAGGCGCUCUCUUUUUUUUUUUUUUUUUUUUUUUUUAAAUCACUGGAGUAUGAUGUUUUUGAUGUUCACAGUCUUAACUCUCUUCACUCCAAGCAUGCUGAAAGAGCAUUUGCUUCUAGCCUGCAUCCUGUGCAUGGGAAGGCAUGUGCCUUUUCCUGGAGCCAUGCUAACCUGAGAGGUUGUGUCCUGCAGUUGCCUGGGGAGUCACGGAUUGGGAAUAGCCUUGUGGACAGAAUCGUUCGUCUUACUUUGCAUCAGGAAAGCUGAUGUAGCUGAAACUGAGUCGUGUCUGGGACUUAGGAGUCCAGCAGUGUUUGUGAUGGCAUUUCCUGCUGAGGAACCAGCUGUGCUCAGUGCUGCUAAACCUGAUGUGAGGAGUGUGCUCUUUGUCAGGGCAGUUAACCGUGGUACUCAUCUCCCCUUUCCAAGGUGGUGUUGUUGUUGUCAGGAGCCAGGACAUCUCUAUGUCUGGCUGGACCUGUGUUGCCAGCUUGGUCUCUUGGUGGAGCAGCCUGUACCUGUCCUUCCUUCUGGACCUUGCCAGGAGCAGAGGCUGCUUGCCCAGUGAAAAGUAGCAGAAUUGACCACACAAUUGUUAAUGAAAAUCACAAGCAGGAAGAUGUAUCCAAGCCCUGUAAUUGCAGUAAUUUGAGCCAUCCUCAUGAAUGUGCUAAUAGCCGCUCUUCUGGUCUCAGCCUAGUAAUUCUUCUAAUGUCACAUUUCAGUAUCUCCUCCACCAUCCUGCACAAUGCAGACCCACCUGCCUUGUAAACAUAAUCCAUUUGAAAGUUGGUGAAUCAUCUGUCCUGUGGAGCUGAUUCUUUGUUUUCAGAUGUUGAAAGUUUCCAGUGGAACUCCCUGGGGAGAAGGAGGUGGAGCUGGUGCCAGGUGUUGGAGACUGCGCUGCAUAGCACAUUGCUUGCAGCUUUUGCAUUCUUCUUCCGUGUAAGAAGAUGAGAUGGAUCAGCCUUGGCCAAGCAGGAGUUUCCUGGACUCUGAAAGCAUGAGGCUGGGGAAGCAGAUGUUCAGUUGUCCUGAAUGCCAUGGUAUGGGAGAGCAGAAACGUGUGUGCUAGGAAGGGAUUGUGUAGCUGGUGACAGGCAGCUGACACUCAAAGAGUAUGUUGAGAGACCCGUUCUCCUUGUAUGUUGUUAGACAUCACAGGAUAAUUCAGAUAGAAAAGGACCUCAACAGUUCUCCAUGCAGGCAGAGUCAACUGUGAGAUCAGACAAGGUGGCUGAGGCCUUCAUCCACUUGGAUCGUGAAAACCUCUCUGGUGGGAGCCUCUCAUGGCCCCUGCUCAAUGCUUGACUGUUCUCAUAAGGAAGAGGUUUUUCCUUUUCUGAAGUUUGAAUCUCUCUCAAGUUAUGCUCAGUGUCUCUCAUCCUUUCACCAAACACCACUGGUAAGAGCUGGGUUCCAUCUUGUUGAGUAAUUUCCGUGUUGAUACAGACAGAUUGCUUUGAGGUGCCCCUGAAAUCAUCUCUUUUCCAGGCUGAAUUAGCCCAGGACCCUUCUGCCUUUCAUUACAGACCAAGUGCUCCAAGGCCUGAGUACUUUGGUGGUCUGUUGAAAUCACUCCAAUUUGUCCAUGUCUUUUCUUGUCAUGGGAGGAAAACUGGAUGCAGUAUUCUUCAUGAGGCCUAACAAAUACUGAUAGGGAUAGUUGUGGGUUUGGGCAGUGGUAUGCCCAAACUAGGAAGCACUGACGUUCCUGGGUCCGUCCCCAGGUAUCAGAUGAGACCAGUGGCUGCCUGAAGACCUGGGAUGCCUGGGGUUUUCCCUACUCAGUCCAGUCACAUGGCGACAUCAUGCAAGGAAGCUCCCUGUUUUCUGCAGGUGUCAGGGAUGUCUCCUUACACAGUGCCAUCUGUUGUUUGUGCCCUUGGUUUCAUAGAUUUUUAAGGCCUAAAGUGUCUAUUCAGAUAUCUAUGGCCCCUGUGUAUCUCAAAGUGAGAAAUGUCAUUAUCCUGUUUUGCCUGUAAUGAACCCAGUAUCUCUCAGUUGAUGUAUUUUCCAUGACAGGAUAGAGUAUGCUAGGAGGCAGAGCAGAUGGCACUUCCCUGGUAGCGUGGCCCAGUGCUGCGUUUCCUAUUUGCACUUGCUUGACUACAGGCUCCAGCCUUUUUCUUCACAAAGUUAAAGAGCUCUUUCACACCAAGUAUUUUCUCUCUAUGAACUGCUUACAAUCAAAUCACCUCUCUGGCUCCCUUUUUGGUGAGAUAACAGACUGAACUCUCAUUCUGUCCCUGGCAAGUGUUUUCUCCAGCCUCCAAAUCACAUUUGUCAUUCUUCUGCACAUCCUACAUUUAUUUUUUUUCCAAAAUCCCUUUAGAAAUGUGGGCUCCAGAACUGGCUGACAGUACCAUCCAGGGGGAACCUUGCCAGCCUGCUCCCACUCACUGCUCCCUGUCCACACCUCAGAGCUUGCUACCAGCACUUGCCCUAUUGAGGGUGUGAACAGGGGACAAAGGGUGCUCUGUGUAGAGCAAAAAAGACUCCCUGGUUCCAUGAAUGGCUGAUUUCCCCUCUAUUUGAUGUUGGCCCACAUGGGCCAGUCUUCUUGUCAAUACCCACUGAGGUUCUCCUAAAAUGCUGUCCCUCUAGGUUGGCAGUUGCUGGAGAAUAAAAGACCAAGGAGCAGUGAGCUUUUGCUGGGAAUUGCAUGUACCAUUGUUUCCAUCAUCAAUAAGCUACCUUCAGUUGAGAAGGUGGAUCAGCCACCUUCCCAGCUGCUACAUCUUCCAUAGAAAAGCAAACGGGAGCUUUAAGCAGAGAAAAGGAAGAAAAGGCAGCUUACCAGGAAGGGCAGAGAAACUGGAUGCAGAAAACAAGGAAGGUGAGAAAUGCAGUGAGUUGUGCAGCUAGAGGGCGUAAGUGCAAGAACUCAUUCUGUCUAGCACUGCAAGAGGGUUUGCUGGGACAUGGAGCUGUCCUACAAAACCCACAGUAGCAUGGGUAUCCCUACCAUCUUGUUUGCUCUUACGCUUUUCUACCUAGCAGGGCAGCGUGGUUGCUUUAUCUAUCAGAGCUGCUUGCAUUAAUAGGAAGUAAUGGUCACCUGUGUUAAAGAGUUUAAAUUACUGCUGAAUACAGCUCAAACUCUCCAGAGCUAGGAGAUACAUGCAGGAGGAGCAGUAAUGCUCAUGUUUACUCUGUCUUUCCACCAGGUGCUCCUCUUCCCCCAGGGCUGAAGUGGUUUUGGUGUUUCUUGCUUGUGCCUUGAAUCUACGGAGGCACCAGCAAGGGCUGCCUGGAAAGCAUAACUGUGUGUAUCUCAGGAGUACAGAGAACAGGCAUAGCUUGCACAGGGCUCAUCUUUACUUUUUCUUGUGUGGAUGCUUCUUACAGAAGCCUCUACUACAAAUUUUAUAUUGAAUGGUGAAAGUGGGAGAGGGAAUUGGUCCUUGUAGAUAGUGUUGUUCCUUCAGCCCUACACAACACCAAUCCUGGGAGCUUUCCCAGGAUCUCCCCUCAGCUGUACAUCUCCUUUGGCUCCCACUGCAUCAGCACUCCCCUGUGCACUGGGCUCAGCCACCUUAUGUUGCCAUUCAUCAUUUCUGAUCCAAUAAAUUACACCUUUAAAAUGCAAUGGGAAUUGUUUUCUGUGUUUUAGAGCCAUGAGCCCUUCAAUUUCCAUUUGUUUAGCGGAUGAUGAAUGGACAGGGGUGACUGGUGGUCGAGCCAUGCAGAGGGAUAGGAGAGCUCUGUUACAGUGACUGUGCUCCCUUUGGCAAGUCUUGCACCGGAGGCCUUGUUAGGUUGCGAGGCACCAACUGUCUGGGGCUUCCCUUUCCAUGGUUCAGUUCAUAAUGGGUCAAAGAGGGUUUUGUAGAGGCUGAAUCAGAACAUCCAGUCUUUAUUCCUGUACUGCGGGGACGUUUUUGCACUUGAUGUCAGGGAGAGGGGAGAGAGCUGCUAUGUGGGGUGCCAAGCCCAGGACAUUUGGUUCUACUACAGAGGCAGGGCUGGGAGCCCCAGGCCCUGCAGCUGCUUAUGAGGGACUGAUUCAGAUUGUGGAUAGGAGCCCUAAUGUCAGGAGAGAAGGAUGGGUGGAGAGUCUCAGGAGAGGAUGGCAGAGGAAGAGUGCUGGUCUGGGUGAUGGAAGCACAGGGGGCUACUGAUCGCAGGAACUUGGGGAAAACUGUUCUGGCAUCUACAGAAUGGAGCAGCCUAGUGUCUUCCAGGUGAUGGAGAAGUCCUUCUUCAUGGUGGAGGUAAGGCUCCUGCAAGCUAGCCAUUUCUACUAGUAAGAUCCAGGACUGUCGGAAACACAUGUCAGCAGUCCUGGGGGAGGCUAUCCCUGUGCAUCUCCGGCAUACAGUGAUGAGGGAAGACACAACAUGUUUGAGACUGCAGCCAUUGCCCAGUGUUGUGAAUGGUUCUCUUGAAGACAGUGAGAUCUGCAUGCGUUGCUAUGCCAGUUAGUCCUUGUUCAGCUGAUGCACCAUUUUGUUUGCUGCAUCUGUGGAGCUUUUGUCCUUGUGCUCACUGUUCUCAGUAAUCUCAAGUCAAAGGCUGCAUCUGCACCACAGUGUUUAGGCUUAAAAGAUGUGGGGUACACGAUGGGCAUUUGAGGGGCAUGGCCUUCACUACAUGGUUUGCGUCCUUCUCCCUCCACGUGCUUGUUUUCUUGCAAUUGUAGUUUUAAGUUAGUUGUGCAAUACUUCGGGCUUGUCUCAUGGUUUUAACGCUGGAUGUAGGCUUUCCUGUGUGACUCUUGUCCCACAGUUGUGUCUGAGAGUCCUGCCUUGAGCAAUAAAAUUCUGUAUCUAAAUUCACACUGCCAAUGCAUUUCAGUUCUUCCCCUUUGCCCUCUUAUCUCACUCUGCAAGCUGCAGCCCUCUGCGAAAAGACUGUGAGAGGCCCCCAGCUCUGUUUGUCUGCUCUGGGUGACUGCAGCAGCUGUUCUGCUGCCAUGUACCCACAGUGCUUGCACAAGUGGCAAGAGAAGGCACAGAAGGAGUUAAAUAGUGAUGGGAAAAUUGGUAUUUAAUCCAGUCCUGUCUCUUCUAGCAAACUUAGAUGGGAAAAUGCCUCCCUGUUGGAAACAGCACCUUUCGGAAAUGGAAAUCCAGGAUGGCUGGGGAUUAGGGUGCCUAUCACUGGAAAUGGGUUUCUUAUCGUCUCUCUGAGCUGAAUUGUUGGGACAGCCUCUGAAAAUUGAAUUGGCUUCCCUGUUUCUGUCUCUGCUAUUGCAUCCCUCCUUUGCUGUAGCCUUCUGCUCAUCUUCCCUGCCUCUGGUCUCCCUUGUCCCCAUGCUCAGCAGAGCAGGGGCUGCCUAUGAGUGGGUCAUGUGUAUGGGGAGAGAGUGCCACAGCUGGCAAGUAGGUAGGACUGGCUGCAUCUCUGAGGAUUCAUCCUCUGAUCUCUAAAAGCCAGGAAGAUGUAGACCCUCUUUCUAAGCUUCCUUCUGACCCUGCAAGGACUGGUGGUCUGGCAGAGCCUGUCAUAGGGCAGCAUGAGUGGAGGCUUGAAAUGAUCAGAAGACAUCGGGCACAACUGGAAACGAGCAGUAGUGAAGAGGAGCCAGUGUGUAGGGGGGGCUGGACAGCGGGAAAGAUGAGAGCAGCUGGAACAGACAGGGGAGAAAACAGGUUGAACACAUUGGAGCAGGAAAGAGACUGACUUCCUGUGAGACAAGGAGCAGCCUGAAUCCCAGGUCUUUGCUGUGGUAGGUGGAGGCAUGGCUUUCCCAUCGGCACUCAGGCUACGUAUUGGGAUGGCCAAGUUGGCUCUUACCGUUUCCUCAUUGCCGCGUGUCUGUUUGUGGUAUGAAGCACCCCACAGUGCUAGCUGGCCUGUACGCAGCUCUGUGCUGGUCUCGGGUGUCCCCACGAAGUGUGGCAGUUAAUUGCCCCGCUGGCCUGGAGCACGUUAGGCUGAAUGCAGAUUGGACGUUUUCUCACUGUGAGAACUGCAGGCUGCAGCCAAGGGAUGUGGGUGUGCUGGCUGUAAGUGUCCAGGCAUAGCACUAGGCAUUUCUUUUUAAGGUUUUUGUUUCCAGGGUUUGGUUUGGGGGUAAUUCCAAUUUCCUGAGCUGUAUUUGACCAUAGCUUACCAGUGCCUGAUCUCAUCUUUGUCUCUGUCACAGCACAGGCUUUUUUUGGGGAAUUUCCCACCCGUGUUAGAGUUAUGUGUGAACUGUAAGCAUGAGAGGUGCUAUGCGUAUGCAUGCUGCUGGCUUUUCAGUGAACCAACCAGCAACCAUGAUAUGGUUGCUACCCUUGUUUCAUUGUCUGCCACAACGUACUAAGUUUGCAAACAAAAAAUACUAGGACAAAAGUAUUAGUGAGGGUUGUUUGGUUUUGGUUUUGUUUCCUUUUUUCUUUUUUUCUGCUCUGACAAAGCUGCCAUCUGUGGUUGAUGAAGCCUGAAGCAAAAAUGCUCUCUUUGAGUAGCCCCUCUGCACUAAGCAAAGUAAAUGUAAAGUAAUUGCUGACUAUCAGGGCAAAGCCCUAGCCAAGGGCCGGGUUCCUCUUGCAAGAGUAGGCUGUAGAGCUUGCUGUCUGCCCUGAGAAAGAGCUGAAGUCCUUCUAUCUUAUUAGGGUACUGGUAUUUGCUCUCUGCUGAAGGACUUACUUAAAUUGCUGACAAAUAACAGGAAAAAUGUUACCUGUAUCAUUAAAGUGCUUCCUUACAUGCCCAGGGGCAGCUAUAGCCAGGCCUAGUCACAUCAGAGGGGUGGGGAGCCUCAAUUUUUCUGCAGCAAAGGAAAUCAGGGACAAGUGUAUUUUGUUAUUUGAGGACCCCAUUAAAGAGCUAAUUCCUGGAGUUCAUUGUUGGAUUGUUGCAUUGUUCAUUGGAGGAUUGUUCAUUGAUCCCUAGCAGCAUCCACACAUGCAUGGGAGGACUCACCAGUUCUGUUACACGACACAUGUUCAACCUUAUGCGGUGGCUGGGAAAGCUGGGACAGGGAUGGGGGCAGCCCAGCAGCAGCCAUAGAGCAAUCCUUAACGCAGUUGAGGUAAGUUUUAUUGUUUCCAGCCCCACAUGCUUCUGCACAGCUGCAGACCUGCCCCACGGCCCCAGGGAGUGGAGCUGUGGAGUUUUUCCCAGGAGUAUUUUGUGAAGGGGGAUGUUUGCCCUGCUCUUGGUCCAGGGCCAUGUUUGUGAGGGUGCAGGUCUAUCUGCACUCUAGCUCAGGGGCAGUCAAGGCAGGGACAAGCAUAGGGCUGUUCCUGCGUCACCUGUGGAAGCAAAGGGUCACCCAGCUGGCCUGGAUGUGCAUUUUGUCCUCUGGGGCUAUCACAGCCCCUUGGGUGUGGUCAUGCGUUUAGCAACUGUUAGAGUAGCAUCUAUUUCAUUUUGGGCUAAAACUGAUAAAUCAAGGUGACUUUGGGGAGAGAAAUAAUUCCUUUCUCAGGAUUUGCAUAAUCCUGGGUGGUGAUAUGAUAAUGGUGUUUGUUAAAGACAGGACACAAUAAAUUAAUAGUGUUAAGUUGUUACCGCAAAAUGCAAAGCAGGUAAUUUAUUGCAGGUGCAAGGGAGAGUGUGAGUGCAGCAGGCAUCAGGCACGGGAGACUGGUUACUGCAGGCAGAGCAGGCACAGGGCUAGCAGCAGUUACUCUUUGGACCCUGCUUGGCCAUGGUAUAGAGGCUGUCCGGGGGCAGAUUAUCUGUUUCAGUCCCGUUUCCUGUUGUCUCUGUGGGGGUGGGACAUGCUUUGUGCCUUAGACUGAUCUCAAGAGCCAGCCUGAAGUGGUUCCCAAGCCCCACGGAGCCAGCCCCUGGUGGAGGGGGGACAGGUUGGCUGAGGACCAGCUGUAUCCUGCUGGUGCUGUGGGGACCUCUGGACACCGGGAUGCCCUGGGGGGUUGCAGCAUUGAGGAGAUGGGCCCUGAUAUUGUUCUUCAUGCCACGUUGGCCAUCUCCUGGAGCCAAGAGACUUUGAGACUUCAGUCCCCAGGAGGUUUCCCUCACCCUGAGAAAGCCUCUUGGUAAGUAAACCAGCCUGGAGACCUGCUGGCUUUAGCCCCUGUCCUCAGCUUUCACCUCAUGUACCUGGGUUCAGUUGAGGGACAAGUGAGGAAGAUCUGGUAUGAGGAAGAGGUAGUGAGAGAUGCUUGGAAAAGUUGCACUGGUACUUCACUCAUUCCCUGGGCUGGUGCUGCAGCUCCAAAGCUAUCCUUACAUGCCAUACCCCACUGGAAUCCUAAUGCACCAUUUAUCUCUGCAGCUCCACAGCUUUAUUAGAAGGGAGAUGCUGUGUGGGAGCCAGAGCAGGAUUUCAAGCUAAUUGGAUUCUGCGUCUCCGUGGUUCCCUGUGUAGGCAGGCGACAGGGAUUAGUGCAGUGUUUCUGAGGAACAGAGGAGAGUGAGGAUGAUGGCCUGCAUGGGGGUUUCCUCCUGUAUAACCCCUGCUGCUAGCCUCAGCAUAGGACUUCUCCACUUCUCUGGACAGGCUUUCAAUAUGCAGCAUGUCCCCAUUCUGUGGCAGUGUUGCUGCCCAAAUUGCAUAUGCUCUUCAUAAUUCUUUGAGCCAGGUACGGUCCUCUUCCAAGGGAAUAAAACAGCUCAAACAACUUCCGAACACGGGCAAGCCUGACAAUAGUCUGAUCUCUCCUGCUAAUCCCUUUGUGGGGGAAAAUAGAUGGAAAUCAAACAUCUGGUGGCUUUUGUGCACAACCAACUACCUGCCUGAACUUGUUCCCCUUUGAGUCCUCACUCCCCUUCCCAAACCUAGGUACUGCCUGGGUAUAGUACAUGUUUGAAGGCCACUGUCUGCAAGUUCCUAGUCUCAUAUUACAGCCUGUCAGGGCAGUAGCAGGAUUCACCUCAUUAACAUAGAUUUAUUCCUGUAUAAACAUUUUAUUGCUUUAAUUGCAAAGCAGUCAUACUGCAGGCAGUGGUAGUAAUGGCUCCAUUUACACUGGGUGUUGAGACAGUGUUCCAGGUGUGUGAGCCUGCAGCAGAGUACACCGGGCAUGCGGCUGAGAGCGUGCAGUUAUUACUUGCCACGGUGUCUACGUGUAGGAGUGUGUGCUGUGCAGUUCAGGAUCAACCAGUCUGGAUAAGUGGCCCUGAGUGUGGUGGCAUCACAGCAGGUUUGUGGUGUCCCCAGUCCUGUGGCAGCGUGAGAGUACAGACCUUGCUGCCUGGAGGAAGGGUGGAGAAGGGUGGAGGCUUAGAGGUACUGAGACCCUGAUUCCACAAGCAGUGGAGGAGGAACAGGUGUUCCACAGUCCUUUCAAGUGUCCACAGUCCUUUCCUCACUCUACCCCUCACUUUCCUCACUCUACCCCUCACUCUGCCUGCACUGUGACGUGGGCAGACAUGUCACCUCGCUGUGUACCCUGGAAACUGGGUGUCCUGCAUUUCUGCUGUGCUGAGGGACAGGUCUCAGGGCCUGGAUGGUGAGAUGGAGCCCUGGGGCAGCAAGAGAUAGGUGAGGGGGGUCUUGGGCUCUCUGGGGCAAUGGGAUAUGCCUGGGGUCUUGCUUUGUGGCUCCUGGCAGGGCAGUAUAUAUCUUGGGCUCCCUGGACUAUGAUGCAUGGACAUGUGUGUUCCCCAGUUCCCCAGUGCCAUGCUGGUAUUUGUACUUGCUCAGCACAGAAAGCUGAGGGUAGAGAGAGAAGCUUAGCUUUCUUGUCUGGUCUAAGCCAAUCUCUGGUGAGAUGUUUCCACUGCUGGGGCCAGGGAGCAAUCUCACAAGGGGACCUGGGAUGUGGCCUGCUCUUGCCUGUACUAUGGCCAGGCUUCCUGGAAGCCUGAGGAGGGGAGAGCAGCCUAUGGUGCUCCCUCACACACCGAUGCAAGGCUGUCUAGACCAUGCCCUGGCAAGGCAAGUGUGUUUCACCACGGUCUGCCCUCUUUCCUCCAUUGGUGUUCUCUCUUGCUGACCUGUGUUGAGGAGAGGGAGAUCAGCGAGCAGCUGCGUCCAGGUGUUUACUCUUUGGAUAAUGUUGGCCAAGCAGUGCUCCAGCUGUGCUGCAAGGCUCAGAGGAAGCCUGUCACACUGGUGUGUUUAGCAAACCUGUGUAUUUGUGAACGAGAUAUGUUGUUGCUUUAUGUUCAUGUUUGUUGUUUAUGAGCAAUUAUGCAGUGCUUUUUCAGCAGGAGAGCCUCCCAGUCAAACCUACCAGCUCUAGCUGCUCUUGGAGCCAUCAACCCCAUGGCAGUGCCAAAAUGCCCCCUUCUCCAUAAAGUUUCUUGGCAACUCCUUCCUGUCAGUGGGGUGGCUCCAAGGCCUCACCCAGCUGAGCAUCAGUGCAGGAGAAUGCACCCAGCCAAUGGUGGCUGCUGGGCUGAAAGAUCUCUAAGUGUAGGGGGGACAAGUACUUGCCAGUCUGCUGCUGCAGUUUGUGAUCUCUGUUCUCCCAUUCUCAUCCAAAUGUUAAUUUUAUGGACACCUUUAUGAAUCUUGCAGUUUUCCCCUUCCGUGGGCUACACGGAUUUCAUCAAGUUGAGAGGUGGCACUUCUGGCCUUUGGUAGCAGGCUAUCAAUUUAAUACUCUGAGUGUAAUAAAAAACAUGGGGCCAUAUUAACACACAAUUACUCUGCUGCUCCUUCCUGUAACUCCUUCUUUGCCACCUGAAAGCCUAGGAUGCAAAGUAAGUGCCUCAGCUGCAAGCAGAGCCACAUGUUUGGGGCAGCAACUGCUAGAGCCAACCUCCACACUGGAACAACUAUGUAUUUUCCACAUUGUGAGCUGCUCUUCACCUGCUUGCCAAGGAUGUAGAAUUUUGUGCCCACUUCUCUGUUAGACUAGGCAAUGUGGACAAAUGCUUGUGUCCUGUCUCUGAGACUGUUCCACCUGUUCUGAACAGGAGACACCUGCAGAGUGUCUCACACAGUGUAUUGAUUUGCCAGGCUGAAAGGAAAGGCGUUUCUUUGCUUGCUGCAAGACAGUCUUACUGCUGACAAGGCUGGAAGAAUAUGUUCGGGUCAUUCCAUCAACGUAAAGCUUAAAUGUUUAGCUGCAGCUAUUGAAAACAAAACGAGAACAGCAGCAACAACAGCACCAAAAGCAGUGGAUGCCUCAUUAAUGCCUGGAUUUAAGAUUUGCAUUUAAGCACCUGUCAGAUACAGUGCAUGGAGCUCUGCACUGGACAGCACCCUGUGUCAAGAGUGCUGCCUCUCAGCACUUUUUCACCUGUGGACACCUUUGUGUCAGCUCAGCCCCACUUCACCACAGUUGACAGCUUUGCAAAACAGAUUUUUGGACUCAAAUUUUUGUCUGGGAAUUUUGAAUAACCUCCUGCUGUUUUAAAGCAUGACCAUACCUUUCUGCUCUCUCUGCUGAUUAAGAGGGCCUCUUCAUGUUGUAACCUUGCUUUCAGCCACUCAACCUCUGUGAGAAUGCCAGUGACCUACUCGAAGAGUUAUUUGAAUUGUAGGUCUUCUGUUGAGUAAAUAUGGACCUGGAAGAGUCGUUUUUUUCCUACCUUGUUCAUCCCGGUUUUCAGGAAAUCAGUAGAUUUCUCAUACAUUUAACUUGUUUUGCAAAACAAUCACUUCAUAAGGUAUUAUUUUAGCAUCAUAAAGCGGGUUGCAUUUUGGACAUCAUGAUUCACAAUUUUCAUGACUUCGUAACAGCUUGCAAUAUGUAUAUUAUUUUUUAAAAAUCACAUCCUGAUGCAACAUAUUUAAUAGUCCCAUAAUUCUGGGAUUGUCUCUUCCUGUCAGAUGUGUGAGCAUGUCACAGAAACUAUCCUGCUGACAGGCUGUUGUCUUUGGAGUCAGGUCUUACCCACCCUUUGCAGCCCAACACCUGCAGAGUCCAAGGCAAACACCAGGAAAUGCUGCUCUCAAGAGAUGGGCAGAGAUCCUGCUCUAUGUCUGUUCCUCCCUCUGAUCUGUUUCUCUCUGUGCAUUUUUUCAUUACCUUGUCUGCUGAGAGUUGAAGUUCUUCCAGGCUGUUGCUGACACAGUGUGGCAACGAUUGGGCCCUUUGCACUUCAGCUGUAAUCAGAUCACGUCAUGACAGAUAAGAGUGCACAGGGGCCUUUGCUUGCUAGGGAAGGGUUGUUCAGUUUAUAGUCCCUGUCUGCUGCACCUGGAGAUGCACCAGAUGCUCUGAGCCCCUUUGUCUGUGCCCAGGACCAACUGUUUGCUCUGUGCAGGAGGCAGUAGCUCCUAGCAGCACCUGUAUGAGAGUUGGUGAGGGGCUGCUGAACAGAAAUGGGUGCUGUGGCUGUCCUGCAGUGUCCCCUCCUAUGGGAUAGUGCCAGGUGCUGUCACUCAGGUACAGGGUGGUGUUGUUAAGUCCUACUCCGUGCAAAUGGUUCUCUAUACCACAUCACUAUUUUUCUGUUGGUCUGUAGCAGUUGAUGUGCCUGUUAGAUGACCCUACACUCCACUACAGUCCACAACCAGCUGUCUACAGUGAUGAGAAAAACACAGCAUACUGGUCCAUUGAGGGACUUCAUCAAAAAGCUCAGUGGGGAGCAGCCAUGUGACUCUGCUGGCCCAUAACCUGGUCUCCAGCAUGACACCUUGCCCCUGCCAUGCUGCUGUGCGCCAGCCCCGCCACAGCGUGCAGCUGAAUUGUGUGGCUCUGGGGUUCAGGCACCCUGUGAGCACCCAGGUCCCAGCUGAAGAGCAGCAGCAGAUGGAUGUGGAAAGCCUUUAAAUUCAGCACAUGAUCAAUACUAAACUGAUCUUCUGGAGUCCUUUAUAGGAUUACCCCAGUCUCAUGCAUCCAAUUGUAAAAAAUCACUCAGCACACUAGGGAGAUGUGAGAAAUGCCGCAAACCCCAUUUAGGAUGCAUAGAGCCAGAGUAAGUAACUUCACAAUUGUUUCUUGCAGUAAAUAAUUUAUCCACUUUACUUUUUUUUUUUUUUUUUUAUUGUCCCCACCCCCCUGCCUCAGCUCCUUUCUGUUUUCUCUUUUGUCCUGAAAUUCCCUUGCUGGGUAGCUUGUUCUUGUGAUUCCCUACCACAUAUGUGUGCUUGUGCACACAGAGGAACACAAAUCUGUCCCAGUCCAACAUUUGCUGGUUGCUAUACAAGGGCCAGCAGUGCUGGGGCAGAGACAAUGCCAUUUCACUGCUCAGCAUUAGCAGAACUGAGCUGGGUUCAGUCCAGGCCUUGGCCUGGCUUCUCCACCUUAGUCUCUGCCCCAGUGCUGCCUUUACUGGUGUCAGGAUGCGUUAACAGAAAUGUUUGGAAUGCGUUAGUAAUGCUAAUAGUAUUUCUGUAAUAAUUAGUAAUGCUGUUUGAACGAACUCUCACUUAAUGAUACAAAUUACCAGUCAGACGAGCACGGAGCAGGGGCUGAAGCUGACAAGUGGAGAGCAGCAAUUACAGGGUGGGAGGCUGCUCUGGCCUGGGGCCGGACAGUGGCCCGUGCUCCUCACCUGGCUGUGUGCUGAGCAUCCGUGUGCUCAUAGCUAGGUGCCGCAGUGGGAGGGGAGCUGGUGCAUGUGGCAUGCCACAUCCAGUCUGGGGCGUCUGGAGGGCUCUGUCCUGAUAGCACACCCUUAACGGUGCAGGCUCUGGUGGUCUUGCUGAACCAGAUGGCUCAUACGUAAUGUAAAUUGCUACAGCUGCUAGAAACAGGUUGACAUGAGUCCCUGCCAUGGGAAGAAGCUUAUCUGGCCAUGUCAGUGGAGGCAAGGCUGUUACCUGUAUCUCUGAAGCCCUUGGCAGCACACUAGCUCCUGAGGCAUCCUGCUUUUGGGUAGCUUUGUGGAAAAGACCUGAGUAUAAAUCCGCAGGUGUUUAUUGAGCUGAAAAUUGUUGGAAUCAGGGAGACUGUCAGGAAGAAUUCUGAUUCUGUCCACCUCUGAUCACUGUGAAGGGCAGGAGUGGCUGUGGUCUGUGCUUGCCAGACCCCAAACUGCACCUUCAGGAACAGAUCUUGCUCUUCGGUGUUUCCCAUCCCACUCCACUGGCUCUUUUACUGCUCCUUCCAUCAAGGCAGCCAGUGACCUUUUGAAGAGAAAUGAUCCCAGCAUCAUUGUGAUAUUUUGUGUGCUAUCCACUUGGGAAUCUCUAAGCAUUUAUAGGCCACAUCUGAGUUAUUCUAAUUCCCUGCUUUGUGAUGUGCCGGCAAGAUCCCACCAUCUGGAGGUCAGUGGCCGUUUUUGGACAGUGGUUGUUUUGAACCCAGACCAGAAUCCCUGAAAUGCCUCUGGGGCACUUACCAGGCCCUGGGCUGUAAAGGGCUAGAGUGCCUCAGACACAAGCUGCUUUGACACUUUCUGACUGCUGCUGCUCUGGGCACAGAAACCUGACUGUAAAUGAGUUGUUUCCCUAAUGAGCUGUGAGUCCAAGGCCCCCAGUGCAUUGGGCACAGCACUGUCCACCAGGUCUGGGUAGGGAUCGGGCACAUCAUGGAUGAUAUCCCCAGGAGUGGCCCCCUGAGCUGUGCAAAGGGGGUCUGCACCUGACCUUAGCCUGAGGUUGCCCGUUACGUCGUAUCACCAAAGCCUGGUCUAACCAGAGCUGUUGCUAACGAGGCUGGGGAGGAUGAGGAUGUGCAUGCACAGCCCUGCUGACUCCCACCGCUGCCUCUGCUGGCUGCCUGCGAGUGAAGGCGAAUGGAAGAGCUCUGGACAGGCAGUGGUGCCUCUGCUGGCCCUGGGGCCAGCUCCUGGAGCAGCAUACUCUGGAUACCCCUGCAGAUGAGAGCUGGUGGCACUCAGCACCGCUAGGGCUGUCUUCAAGGCUCUGACUUUGCUUUCCAUUCAAGGCCUGUGCUUCAGCUCAAUCCUAUAUGCUUCCUGUGGGAUUAGGCAUGCAGUGCCCAUGGAACUGGCUGUUGAUAGCCCCCCUCUGCCACCAGGCAGCAGCCUGUGGGACAGGGCUGCAUAUGGCCGCGUCAGGCUGAGCUGACAGGCCUGGUGUGAAAUAAGAUGAAUGGGCUGAAGUUGGUGAAAAUGAUUCUAAUUUAUAAUCUGCUGCUUUGUGGAGCUCCCCAAUUAAUUCUCUGUAGAUACAUAAGUAGGCCACAUGUUUGCUUUGCUUCGAGUGUAAUAAACAUUACGCUCUGUCCUCUGCUUUUGGUGCUGGUUCCUGUCAGAGCAUUAGUCCCUAUAGCUAAUUCCUCACACCUGUCUCCCAGGCUCCUGGGAGCCUGGCUGAGCAUGGGGAGGAAAUGCCAGGCUCCAGGAAACUUGUGGCAUGGAGAGAUAAAUUGCUGAUCAAAGGGCUAUCACACAGUGCCUCUGAAUAUUUAGUCGCAGGCAAGGCAGCCAAGCCCACUCAGGAAAGGGCUUUGUUCUUGAAGAGCUGUUUGCCUGGCUUCGCUCUGCAUCACCAAGCAGCUGGGGUGGGAUGGGGUGCUGGGAGCUACAUGCCCUCAAGUCAAAAAGAACUGGCAAAGGAGGGGGUUAUAAGGGUGUAACGGGGGAGGAAGCGGGGUGUCGGGGGGGCUGUUAAAACAUUAGCAGCAGACGGGUGAGCUCUGCUGGGGUCUGGAUGUCAGCAUGGAGCUGCUGCAGAACCAAGUCACUUGCUUUGAGCAGGAAGAACAGUCUGACUGAGGCACACACUUUAGCUGAGUGCGUGACUUUCCUGCUUGUCCUGCUACCUGUGUUUUCUGAGGUUCCUGAGCAGCAGGAGACCUUUCCUAGGCCUCCCUCUCCAUUCCACACCCAGGAAAAAUCCUCCAUACUUGCUUACUUGCCACAACCUGCUCAGCACCCUGGCUUAGCUCUGGUGCUUUGAUGGUUCAUAAGGUGAAGAAGCACAGAGCUGCUUUGCUUGUUGAGAUGCCUUUGAGGGGGUGAAUGAAUUGGAAUUGCCAUGUGCUGGGUGAAGGUGCCUAAUAUGAUCUAGUUUGAUGUGAUGAUGGGUUAUUGAUUGCUGUGUAGAAAAGUGGGGCAGCUUACUUGUCAUUGUGUUUUAACUAUCUCCAGAGAAAAGAGAACUAAAAAUCAGUUUACCAGACAGUUUAAUAGUGAGUUUCAGCAUUGCUGCCAUUAACAGCCAAGCCACUCUUCUCUCUCACCUGGUUUUCCUCUUGUACCCACAGCUUUCCUGCUGACACCUCAGAGCAAGCAAAGCACUUGCCUGGCCCUGGGCUGCCAUACUGCCCUGGGUGGUGCAGAGCCAGCCACACUCGCUCAUUUUGUGUCCUUCACUCUGCCUUGGGACAGGGACAAAUUCCUUGAGCUUUGGCAGGGGUGAGGUGCCAGCUUCUCCCUGUACAGCAUCACCCGGUUCUGUGCUUACAUGGGCACAGGGAGCCUGGCUCAGCAACUGUAAAGCAUCUGACUGCACCUGAGAGUAUGAACAUCCCAUCUGCCCUCGCGCCAUGGUGGUGAGCAUUCGCGGCCAUAGCACUCCCCGGGGAGGUUCUGGCAGGAGGAGCUGUGGUAGGUACUCUCAAGGACAAAGAUGCCAGGCUGGCCUUGGGUACCUGGCCCCCCUUUUUCUGGAGCCCCAGAUGCUGGCACUUGUGUGCCCCGUGCAGGCCUGCCAGGGAGAGGAGCCAAGCAGUAACUGUUAUCGGGCUCACACAGCCCUUCCCGUCUGGCUGCUCUUCUGAGGAAUGAGCCACACUGCCUGCAGGUGCCAGGGAGCGCUCGCAGGUGCUCCUGAGGCAGGAGGUACAGAUGCGCUGUCUGUAAAGUCUUGGUACAGAAAAGGCUGUGAGGUGAUGCUGGUUAGUGACAGAGUCAGCCUUACCCCUCCAAGCCAGCUUGUUGCAACCCCAGGAGGCCUGUGGCCUCUCUUCUCACCUUGGAUGCAGAUGGGAGCUGGUGUGGAGUCCUGGGAUUUGUGUCGGCUCAGGCAGCUUGACUUAUGUUGCAGGAGGCUGAAAACACAAAGCUCAGAUUGAAUCUGGGUUCAGAGCACUGGGGGGGGGAUGGAGAGGUGGAGCAAGAGGAUGCACAAAGCUGCUGAGAUUCCAAGGCCACAAUUUCUCCCAACUGCUAUGAGGCACAGUCCUCUCUGAGAGGUCUGCCAGGGCAGGAAACACCUGGGAUCAAGGCUUUGCUGGCAGACGUGGACAGUGUCUGUGUCGCUGCUCUCUUGAUUAUUCUCCUCACUCCUGUAGCACUCUAGAGCAAGCAGAAUGCAGCCAGAAGUCUGUGAACAUCAAGGGUGGUCCAGGGAAGGCAUGAUGCUGGGGGCUCUCCAGUCUGGACCACAGCUGUUUGCAUUGUGCCACUGCAGCUGGUGAAGGGAUAACUGCCCCUCUGCCUGAAUGGAGUCCAGACCGAAGACCCUGAAGACCUUUCCUGGGGUGUUUUCAAACUCUGUGGCUGUGGAGCCACUGUGAUUGCACCAGGACACUGAGGUUUCUCUUGUAUCUCUUGAAGCUAUCCCAGAGCUUCUGGGAAGGGCUGAGCUAGCAGGUGCCCACAGCCCUGUUGUCCGUGUCCAAGCCAGAUCCUCUUGCUUUUGCUUUGCCUGACCUGGGACAGAGGUGUGGGGCUUGGGCUUGCUGUGCUGGAAGGAAGGCUGGGCUGCAGCUGUGCCACUGGCUGCAGGCAUUUCUGCAUGGCUCAGGGCAUAGUAGCAGUGCCCUCAGGUGCCUGUCGCUUGCUCUGUCCUCAGCAGGUGGAGAGGGAAACUGAAUCCUGACGAGCUGUGCCAGGACAUGUUUCCAGGCCUGAGAUUGGUGUUUCUCCCUCACCAGUGCAGUUUGUUUCAGGGGUGCUGGAGCACAUGCAGCAGGAGCAGGCUGAGGCUGCUGGGCACAACGGCAGCCAGUCUGGUGGAGCAAGACAUUUUAAAUGCUUUUCAUUCCAACUCUCUGCAGCUUACGCCUUUCCAGGAGCUGCUCUCUGUUUUCAGUUACCUUUGUAACUGCAUUACAUCUCAGUAAAUAAGAGCUUUCCAAGUAUGCUGCAGGAGCCAGGGCAGCUCUGGGCCUCUUGAUUGUGUCCCUGAGGACAAGGCUGCUGGGUGUUUCUGGCACAGUGACAGCUGCUCUGCACCUUGGCUUUGGGGACUUUCUCCAGCCUCCCCAACACAUUUUCUGGAGAGACUGCCAGGAAUCUGGCUGUGGCAAGGGAAAGUGCAGUCUCAUGACUCUGCCACUUUGAGAAUAGCUCUUCAGCUAUUUCAAAGAGUUUGGACACUUGGCCCAGCUCUGCUCCCUCAGUAUGUCUCUUGCUCUUUCCUCACCCCAUCCAUGCCACAGAUAGAGGGCAAGGGACUGCAAGGCAUUAGAAGAGAUGACAGAGCUGAGCACCCAAGCCCAGCACCUUCCUCAGCCCCAGCUUUCCCCACCUUUGUAAUACCCCCUCACUCUCAGAGAGCUGCCAGUGCAAUGCUUGCACCCAGCCUCCCUGGCCUGGCCUGGCUCUCAUCCUGAAUUUAUUUUUACAUCUUAUGAUUUUCAGAGGUUUUUAAAUUUAAUGGCUUCUUCUCUCUUCUUUUUUUUUUUCUUUCUUUCUUCCUUCUUAGCACCUGAACUGGAUCCUCUCUGAGCCAUUGCCAGCUCCAGGGAUUACAAGUGAAUAAUUCAGGUUUGAUGGUGUAUUUGAAGUUUCAGGGAAGAAAGUGGCAUGUGUAGCCUGCUCCCCCCCCCAUACCUGUUCAAGGGCUGUGGUGCAAGCUGCUGCUGUUGCUCCAAAGGCAAUCUCAUGGAUACCCUACAGAGCCACACUGAACAAACAUUUCUUGGCACCCAGAAAUGGCCUUCCCAGAUCCUGGAGCCUAAGGCUGCCAGGCCACCACAGAGCAGCAGGCUUGUUUUCAUCCUACUGCUUGUGCAGGCUGCUGUUCUUUAAGGAGGCAGCUCCCCAGAACCAGCAGUGGAAGAAUAUUGCAAGGCCAGAGAGUGCUGUGGACUGAACCACAGCACCCUACUUGGCAGCCCAGGUCCUGGAGGGGUUCAAUUCCAGACCAGUGUGUGUAUCCUGGCAGCUCUGAAGUGUAGUGAAGAAGGCAAUGGGCAAACCUGACCUGCUUUAAAGAUGUUUACAGUAGAACAUAAACCCAAAGCUGAAAGGCCUUCAGAAAAUGAAAAGUCUUCCCUUACAAAGAUGGUGGGAGCCACAUCCACAGGCACUCGCGCUUGGCAGCAAACCCUUCUCAAGUGGCCUUCAGAGAGCUCCCUGCAAGCAGAAGGUGUUUUUAAGACAGGGAGAAGGAGGUCUACUGCAAAGUUCCUCUUUGGAUUUCAGAAAGGAUCCUGGGGAUCUUUGACAGGGCUGGUGGUGGUCACAGAGAGACUGUAAAGGUUUGUCUCAAGUGGUGCAUUCUGCUGGGAAAUGGCUUUGGGGAGUCUAUCUUGGGGAAGAGGCAGUGCUUUCCUAUCCUACUGCAGAACUGCUCAGACAUUGCUUUUUGAAAAUGGAACUCCUGAAUCACCUGUCUCUAUUUCACUGCCAGGAAACUGCUAGCACUGUGGCACUGAUGGCAGAACCAGGUGGUAUGACACAGUGGGAGCUACUCCAGCCAGUGGCUUCUUGCUCACUCUGAGAAGAUCAUUUGGUAUAUCUUCCUAUGCUUCUGGACUUGAGCUGGAGAACUGACUUGGUGGCUAGCUGCUGCUGGGCAAAAAGAGAUACCUCCAGAGUCAUCAUGUUGUUGUCUCCAGGCAUGGGUGGAGGAGGGAAGUGUUUGCAGUGGACUGAGAGGUGGAGAUGCAGAACAUUUGGGUGCAUUGUUUAUGUUUCCUGAGUGCAGAGCAGAACUUUGCUUGACUCUUCCAGUGUGCCCUGAACUUCACAGGGUAAGGAAGCAGAAGAGACAUCCCUCACUGGGUUUCAGGGUAUGUGUCAGACCAUCAGUGGUCUCUGUGGUCUGUAUUUGCACAGUGCCAACUGUUUCUUGUCCUCAAGGCACAGGGCACAGAAAGAUACACUGAAAAAUUAUUUUUAACCUCCUACAAUUUACUGUUCAGAAAGGUAAGUCACUUUUGUCAAGGGUGGUUCAGUAGCAGCCACUGUGGAGGCAAUCUUUUCCUGAUACACACAUCUUUUUGCAAGCUGGUGCUCACAAAAUUUAAGUAUGAUCUUUCAUGGUUUCCAGGAGCUCUUGGAAGAACUAACAAGCAUAUCACAGGGUCCAGCGUUAAACUCUUCCCUGCUGGGAUGCAGUAGAGAACAGAAACUGUCAAACAGUUUGAGAUCCAUUUAAUAGCAAUUAGUGUGGAUGAAAGAAGCACUAAUGUGAAAGCCUCAGUCUCUGUGCCUAAGAAUAAGUCAAUCCAUAUAUGACAGAAUUGAGGAUCUGCAGUACAACCAUGGAGCUGAGGAUCUGACAGAAUUGUGAACACAGAAUAAUCUUUGGAAUUCUACAUAUAGCAUGAAAGAAAAGGCACGUAUAUGAUGAAUGACAGAAGCCUAUAUGACAGAAGCUGCAACAGCAGAAGCCUUCUGGACAAGAGAACUCCUCUGCCCACCCAGAGGAGGACCCAUUGAAGGGGAGAAGCCGUCACUGGUAACAGAUAUUGAGCACCUACAGAAAGUAGGAGUAUUUCCAGGAAAAUCCCAAACUGCAAGAAAUGUAGCCUUAAAAUAUGUCCUUGUAAAAGCCUGAAAAAUGUGAUUCAGAAUGUGUGUUCAUAAAGACUCUGCAGACUCUGGAGGACUGUCUUCCAGUAAAAGGGUAUGAUAGACUUCACCCUGAAGUGGUGUAAACAAUCAAGAGCUGCCAACAGUUAGCUUCAAGACAAAGUGUUAGGUGGGUUGGUAGGAUGUUAUCCCUGGAAAAAGGAAAGGAAGGCAUACAACAGCUAAACAGGUGAAUAUUUGGUUAUGUGCAUAAUUUCACAAUUUGGAAAUACUAACAUUUUUAGAAAGCUAGGAUCAUUCUCUUGAUCCUGGUAAUUGCGUGAGCAGAAAAGCUCAACGUGAUGUGCUUGCACCAUGUAUUUUGGGAGGUUUUGGGAUUCCUGCAGUUGUACUUUGGGAAAGUUGUAGACACUUAUCAUGACACAAUACAUGAAGAAGCCUGCAACUGACAACCGAAGAACUAUACAUGGCACAAGAGAAGCAUAAGUUCAAAGAGAACUCGGUACAACAAGGGCUACCAUGGGGAAAAUGGAAGCUAAUGGGCUGACUGGGCACUCACCGAUGUCAUCUGUUAAAGGCAGUGGGUUUGAACAGGAUUUGAAUGAGAGGGAACUACACCUGAUGAAGGAUGGGCAGAGGUGGGUCUGAUGCUGCACCUUCUAGAUGUAGCCACUGGAUAAAGGCCCCUUCCUGUGUGGUGCAGAAGAGCUUUGCUGGUCCCUCCCAACCACAUUAUUCCUCAGGGUGCUGGACUCAGCCAUUACAGCACCAGUGUAUUCCAGAAGCGGUCAGAUCACCAUGCCUUUCUGGGAUGUGAGUCCAAAAAACAUUCUAGUACCAGAAAUAAACAACUACUGUUUUCCAACUUACUUACUCUUCACAGCUUUUUGCAGCCAAAUUUUGGCUUUCACUGCAUGUGACUGCACUACAGUUCUCCUACUGUCUGUAUGGGAAGAUUACAAUUGCUUUGAGCCCUGUUUCUCUCUGCUCUCAACUGGUAUCAGGGUCAUGGAAGAGCACAAGUAUGAACGUGUGUAUGCAUGCAUUUCUGUUUACCAGGGGGAGAAUGACAAGAGGAAACUGUAUCAUGCUCCUGACACCCCUGUUCUAAGCUUUGCAUCGAGCUGGGACCCUUGUAUGUAGCCCAGAUAUACGUCUUUCCUCCAUUUUCUUUGCUCUGGUUAGUUAUAUUGCAUAUCUAGGGGAUGGCUUCACUCUGUUACUCCACCCAGGUGGUGAGCUGUGCAUCCAGCUGUAAAUCUCAGGAGCAAGCACAACUUGGAAUAGAGUGCCUGUGCUGCCUGCAAAAGGAUAUUGUAUGAGCACACCCCACAGCAGUGCAUCCCCCUCCCCAGAUCACAUCUCAGUCAUGUUGUCUGCCUGCCCACUAGAAGGUCCAAACUCUUGCUAUUGGGCUUUCUUCAUUCUGCAGUCUGGUACUGGACCAACAGGGCAAAUGCUGAGUCACUGAUACAAGUAACUGCUCCAACCAUUAAUUUUUAUAGUCUGAGUGACAGCACUUCAUGCUGGGCACAAGUAGUGACAGAGAUGAAAGCUUGAAGCCAAAUAGACGUCACAGAACCAGCACAAGUGCUAUUUAUUAAAGAAAUGCCUGGAUUGCAGAGGAAGGAGAGGGGUGUGUCUUGAAAGGAACCUUUAACACCUAAGAGUGAAAAGUAACAAGGGCUGUGCAGCAAUGGGAGCUGCCAAAGGCAGCAGCUAAUGGACCUGGUCCUGGGGUGAGCUGGCAGCAGGGAGCAUGUGGCAGGGAGCCAAAGGAGGCAAAAACAUGGCCAGUCUGAGCUGUGUCCAGACCCUUCCAUUCCAACUUUUCCAGCCAGGCCUGCAGAUGAUGUCAUGGUACAGAGAAUAUUGCUGCGCAGAGCGCUGGUCCUAGUGUGGGCUGAGGAGCCGCUCCCAGGAUUGCCACCCUGGUGACAAACAUCUUAUUAUAAAUUCAGACCGAUGGCCAGUGUUAUUCAGAGGUGUCUACUGAGCAAAAGCAUUCCCUCCCUUGCAGAGUCAGCUGCGGUGCAAAUUUUCCAUCUGCAUAAUCCAGUUUUAGCCUGGAAGGAAAAGGACUGGAGAGAAGGAAAUCAAGUCUCUUUGUGUCUGUCCUCAUCCUUGUUCUGAAACCUGACUGCCAGCUUGUCACAGAGAUGUUUCCUACAGUAAAGUACUUCAUGCUGGGUUCUUCCAAGUCAUCCUGGUCACACAACAGCUGACAGCUGUGGGCGUGCCCCAGGUGGUUUUUCCUGCUGCUGCAACUCAGCUGAGGAAGACACAUUCUCCUGCUUGUGCCCAAGGACACACUGCCAAGGGAAGGAACCUUUGCUGAAGCCUUGUGGCUGGUGCACCUGCUGCAGUCCCUGGGGCCAGAGCAGAGCCAUCCCCUGCACAUUCCUGCCCACUGGCUCAGCUGGGAGAGGCUCGGGCCAACCGUCUGCACGCAGCCACGGGGGCUGUGCAGGGGAGGAUGUCUGCCAAUUUGCCUGUGGGCUCUUCACUAGGCUCCUGGUGCAUGAUGUGAAGUCGCAUAACUCCCUACCCAAAACCAGUGGUUCAGUGCUCAGAGGCAGAAGCAAUUUUACAUAAAGUUCAAUUAAAUAUUUGCUUUAUAAUUGCGCAACAAAUUAUUCAUAAAGGCAUUGGAAUUUAAUCACAAGGCUGACACCGUGGAGUCUGCAAAUGACACAGUACUUGGGGAGAAUAAAGAUGGAGGAGAGCUGCCAGGCAUUGGUGACACAGUGCUCAACUGUGUGGGACAGUAGAAAUGCUCCCAAAAAAAAGACUGGAAGCAGCACUAAUGAGCCUAAGCAAGGCAGUGCCACUUGCCUAGCAGAAGUAGAGUGGUAUAUGAGAACUGGCUCUGGGCAAUAGACUGGGGGCUUUGGCCAGCCAGUGUGUGCCCAGAAGACCUAGGCAGUGUUGGUCUGUGUCCAUCCCAACCAUGUUAUGUUGGCUCUGGCCAAAUGUAGGGCAUGUUCUGUGGUAUGCUAAGGAGAGGCUCAACCUGUGUGAACACAGAAUUGCUGCCUUCAGCUCUUUCCACCAUCUCCAGCAGGAGUCACGGGAUUCCUGUGCCUUUUUGGGUGUGCAGAGGCCUCGCCCUAGUAUGCAGAAAGGCCCCUAGUCAUGGGGAGCAACCAGCCUGUGGAGUCAAUCCUUCUAAACCUGUACUAGGGCAGUGUCUGGGGAAAGGCAGGAGGCAAUCUGGGUGUGUAAUGUGGCAUCACUGUCCCCAAGAGACAGGCAGUGCGAUGCAGUGCUUUGCAGAAGAUAGCUGCUAAGCACAGCAGGAACAAAUGUGAGCACUCACGGACCCUCUGCAGGGAAUCUAACAGAGGGACUUCAUGGCCUUCAUCUUGAGCUGCAGCCUGGGGAGCAAUGCCUUCCCUGCCAGUACUAACACCCAAUGUUCAUAGAACACCCUUAGUUGGAAGUGACCCACAAGGAUCAUCGAGUCCAACUCCUGGGUCCCCUAAGGACCACCCAAAAAAAGUUCAGGCUGAACUUGGAGGGCAGAAGACUGAAUCCUCCACCCUGUGAAGAGCCAGACUGGUGGGACUGAGUUUCUGAAUCUCUGUUUGUUCCUGUGAGAUGGUGUCAGGUGAGGUCUGAGAAUGAGAAAUGGCCUGCUGUGCAGAUGCUGAGCCCAGCUCUCACCACAGCCUGAUUUCGCUUUGCCUAGCAAGGACAUGUCCCUCCCAGAUUCUGUCCCCUGCUGUCAUCCUGUGCAAUGGGCUGCAGCCUGCCCCAUCCCACUAGGGAGAAGCUCUGCAGGGCAUCCAGUGUUAGGUGGGCUGUGACUGACAGGGGAGCUGGGUCCUGGACAGAGAGCUGGACUGGAGAUGGAUUGCCUGCCACCCAGAUGUGGACAUUAGACAGGGAGUUAGAUUAAUGGGAGCUGGCUCUGCCAAAAUAGAGGUGAGUCACAGAGCCUGUCCUGUGCUGAAUCUGCUUCUCCAAUAGGGAAGAAGUAGGAGGAUUUAGCAAGAUUAAUCCCUCAUGGGGUUGUGAGAAUAGCCAGAAUUCAUGUGCUUCUCAGCAACAAAUUUCCAUGUAAGCAGACAGCAUUUUGACUUGUUUUGUGUGACAGAGCAUAGAUCCAUACUGGUAACUUUGGAAUUCCCUGCCACUUGUCACAGGUAGGAUUGACUGUCCUUCCCCACU